RNAcentral lists this ribosomal RNA (830 nucleotides) under uncultured bacterium. Its description in RNAcentral is "bacterial SSU rRNA". It matches the Rfam family "Bacterial small subunit ribosomal RNA", at positions 10 to 796 of the family's 1533-position model. The record is from RNAcentral.
AGUUUGAUCAUGGCUCAGGAUGAACGCCGGCGGUGUGCCUAAUACAUGCAAGUCGAACGCGUUGGCCCGACUGAUUGAUGAUGCUUGCAUCUGAUUGACGACGGUUUACCAACGAGUGGCGGACGGGUGAGUAACACGUAGGCAACCUGCCCAGAAGCGGGGGACAACAUUUGGAAACAAGUGCUAAUACCGCAUAACAACGAAAACCACAUGAUUUUCGUUUAAAAGAUGGUUUCGGCUAUCACUUCUGGAUGGGCCUGCGGCGCAUUAGCUUGUUGGUGAGGUAACGGCUCACCAAGGCUGUGAUGCGUAGCCGAGUUGAGAGACUGAUCGGCCACAAUGGAACUGAGACACGGUCCAUACUCCUACGGGAGGCAGCAGUAGGGAAUCUUCCACAAUGGGCGCAAGCCUGAUGGAGCAACACCGCGUGAGUGAAGAAGGGUUUCGGCUCGUAAAACUCUGUUGUUGAAGAAGAACGUGCGUGAGAGUAACUGUUCACGCAGUGACGGUAUUCAACCAGAAAGUCACGGCUAACUACGUGCCAGCAGCCGCGGUAAUACGUAGGUGGCAAGCGUUAUCCGGAUUUAUUGGGCGUAAAGCGAGCGCAGGCGGUUUUCUAAGUCUGAUGUGAAAGCCUUCGGCUUAACCGGAGAAGUGCAUCGGAAACUGGAUAACUUGAGUGCAAGAGAGGACAGUGGAACUCCAUGUGUAGCGGUGGAAUGCGUAGAUAUAUGGAAGAACACCAGUGGCGAAGGCGGCUGUCUAGCUUGCAACUGACGCUGAGGCUCGAAAGCAUGGGUAGCGAACAGGAUUAGAUACCCUGGUAGUCC